Molecule: non-coding RNA, 21 nt
Filed under: Arabidopsis thaliana (thale cress)
Lineage: Eukaryota; Viridiplantae; Streptophyta; Magnoliopsida; Brassicales; Brassicaceae
Source: RNAcentral
UAUGAACCUUUUCGAUGCUUC